This 608-nucleotide ribosomal RNA is filed under the name Hyaloscypha sp. 1 RB-2011. RNAcentral describes it as "eukaryotic LSU rRNA". The stretch from base 245 to 398 matches the Rfam family "5.8S ribosomal RNA". The record is from RNAcentral. Lineage: Eukaryota; Fungi; Ascomycota; Leotiomycetes; Helotiales; Hyaloscyphaceae.
UCUUGGUCAUUUAGAGGAAGUAAAAGUCGUAACAAGGUUUCCGUAGGUGAACCUGCGGAAGGAUCAUUAAAAAAAGAGAAACGUCCCGUUUUUUUCAUAAGAAUGGGUUCUAUUCCCUUAAACCGUGUCUACAUACCUUUGUUGCUUUGGCAGGCCGCCUUCGGGCGUCGGCUCCGGCUGAUAGUGCCUGCCAGAGGACCCAAACUCUAUGUUUAGUGAUGUCUGAGUACUAUAUAAUAUUUAAAACUUUCAACAACGGAUCUCUUGGUUCUGGCAUCGAUGAAGAACGCAGCGAAAUGCGAUAAGUAAUGUGAAUUGCAGAAUUCAGUGAAUCAUCGAAUCUUUGAACGCACAUUGCGCCCCUUGGUAUUCCGAGGGGCAUGCCUGUUCGAGCGUCAUUAUAACCACUCAAGCCUGGCUUGGUAUUGGGGCUUUCGCGUGUUCGCGGCCCUUAAAAUCAGUGGCGGUGCCGUCUGGCUCUAAGCGUAGUAAUUUCUCUCGCUAUAGGGUUCCGGUGGUUACUUGCCAAAACCCCCCAUUUUUUCUAGGUUGACCUCGGAUCAGGUAGGGAUACCCGCUGAACUUAAGCAUAUCAAUAAGCGGAGGAA